UUUCCGUAGGUGAACCUGCGGAAGGAUCAUUCAUAAUAAAGUGUUUUAUGGCACUUUUUAAAAAUCCAUAUCCACCUUGUGUGCAAUGUUAGAUCUCGUCAAUCUUGGCGAGAUUUUUAUACAUCAACUCAUUUUUUAACUAAUUUGUCCGAAAAAUAUUAUGAAUACUUAAUUCAAAAUACAACUUUCAACAACGGAUCUCUUGGCUCUC
RNAcentral lists this unclassified non-coding RNA (211 nucleotides) under plant metagenome. RNAcentral describes it as "partial contains small subunit ribosomal RNA, internal transcribed spacer 1, and 5.8S ribosomal RNA". The record is from RNAcentral.